RNAcentral lists this ribosomal RNA (361 nucleotides) under uncultured bacterium. RNAcentral's name for it is "partial 16S ribosomal RNA". It matches the Rfam family "Bacterial small subunit ribosomal RNA", at positions 338 to 696 of the family's 1533-position model. The record is from RNAcentral.
CCUACGGGAGGCAGCAGUGAGGAAUAUUGGUCAAUGGGAGGAAUCCUGAACCAGCCAUGCCGCGUGCAGGACGACGGCUCUACGAGUUGUAAACUGCUUUUGUACCGGGGUAAAAUGCUCUACGAGUAGGGUUUUGCAAGUACGGUACGAAUAAGGAUCGGCUAACUCCGUGCCAGCAGCCGCGGUAAUACGGAGGAUCCGAGCGUUAUCCGGAUUCAUUGGGUUUAAAGGGUGCGUAGGUUGUUUUAUAAGUUAGCGGUGAAAUACCGAUGCUCAACAUCGGGGCUGCCGCUAAUACUGUAGGAUGAGAGAUCGGAGGAAGAAGGCGGAAUGGGUAGUGUAGGGGUGAAAGGAAUAGAUA